RNAcentral lists this ribosomal RNA (333 nucleotides) under uncultured Limnohabitans sp. RNAcentral describes it as "bacterial SSU rRNA". It matches the Rfam family "Bacterial small subunit ribosomal RNA", at positions 1 to 341 of the family's 1533-position model. Lineage: Bacteria; Pseudomonadati; Pseudomonadota; Betaproteobacteria; Burkholderiales; Comamonadaceae. The record is from RNAcentral.
GAUCGAGUUUGAUCCUGGCUCAGAUUGAACGCUGGCGGAAUGCUUUACACAUGCAAGUCGAACGGUAGAGGGGGCAACCCCUUGAGAGUGGCGAACGGGUGAGUAAUAUAUCGGAACGUGCCCAGUCGUGGGGGAUAACGUAGCGAAAGUUACGCUAAUACCGCAUACGAUCUAAGGAUGAAAGCGGGGACUCGCAAGAGCCUCGCGUCGAUUGGAGCGGCCGAUAUCAGAUUAGGUAGUUGGUGGGGUAAAGGCUCACCAAGCCAACGAUCUGUAGCUGGUCUGAGAGGACGACCAGCCACACUGGGGACUGAGACACGGCCCAGACUCCUA